Molecule: long non-coding RNA, 4777 nt
Filed under: Sus scrofa (pig)
Lineage: Eukaryota; Metazoa; Chordata; Mammalia; Artiodactyla; Suidae
Description: lncRNA (ENSSSCG00000058990.1)
Source: RNAcentral
CAACAUGGCACGAAGCAUCCCUGUCUUGAGACUGUGCAUGUACGUUAGUGCACCCAGGUUUUGAGAUGUCCUGAGCUUGAUUUAACCCAACUCGUUCGACCCUCAGCACAUCUUCUCCUUUUGUUCAUUAGCCCUAGCAGGGACAAAUUUAGAGAAAUGACCAAAUUGAUCGUUUAUCCUUAUUGCACAACCUCUGACUUUUACAGCUUCAGUUGGGGCUAUCCCUUAACAGGAGGUCUACAUUGGGUGUUGGGGGCAGUAGAGAAAGUAUCAUUCUUUAAGGUGGAUACUUUAGGUGAUUUUCAUGGUUUCACACUAUUGUAUCCUAAUGAUGAUUAAUAGGAAGUAAUAUAACUAAAUUUAAUAAAUGCUAGUAAAGUGCAAUUACUUCCCUUUUAAUAGAAGAGGAUCAAGACUUUUCCUUCGAAGGGAAGGGAAGUUUAGUUUUAUGUGCCUAGUUAUGCUUAAAUUUUUAUAAAAAUGUGUUCUGAAAAAAAAAGUAUAAAUCAAACUAUUGAAAAAAACAUCUCAGGAAUUCCCAUUGUGGCUCAGCAGGUUACCAACCCAACUAGUAUCCAUGAGGAUGCGGGUUUGAUCCCUGGCCUUGCUCAGUGGGUUAAGGAUCUGGUGUUGCCUUGAGCUGUGGUAGAGGUCGCAGACGUGGCUCCGAUCUGGUGUUGCUGUGGUUGUGGUGUAGGCUGGCAGCUGUGGCUCUGAUUUGAUCUCUAGCCUGGGAACUUCCAUAUGCCCUAAAAAGCAAAAAAGCAAAAACAAAACAAAACAAAAAAUCUCAUUUUCUCAUUGACUUAGUAAAGCUUUCAUCUCAGUUGUACCAAUAUGAGAUUAAAAAAAUUAAUUUUUUUUUCCAUCUUUUAUCCCCCUGAUGUUUUAACUCAGCUAAUUAUCAGGAGAUUCCUCAAUGCACAAAGAAAUCUAGCAGUGAAUCUUUAAAUAAAUGUUCACUCUCUAUAGAUACCUUUGGUAGAUUUAGAGGCAGAGCUUUCUAUAUUAUAAACAUCUAAUCAAUCAGUAAGUUCUAAAUAAAUAAGUAAAUUUUUUCUUUAGAUUUCCUUAGUGCAGCUUACAUCCAAAUAUGGGGACUAUUUGAGCAAAACCUAAGUUUAUGUCUGCUGUCAGAAAUGUAUUUCUUGGCUGGAACUCAUACUUUUGGAAAAAGUGAGCAUGUGGAUACAUGUUGAAAGUGUGGAUAUAAAGUUCUACUCUGAUUGCUAAAGAAGUUUUCCUGGAAAGCAGUUUCAAGAGGAAAGUGGUGUUACCAUGGUCAGGUUGGAGCAAGAAAAAUGAAAUACACCGAGAUUCUGAAAGGAGCAAAAUGGGAAAGAUGACUGUGUUUCUCUCAAGCAACAGAUCAUGCUGUGAGCUCCCCACUUUAUCCAUUUUGUUCAUUGUGUUAAUUCUACAUCUCACAUCCUCCUCAUGCCCUCUUGCAUUUGCCCAGCUCAGAAGCAUCUGGGCAGGUCUCACUGUCCGUCAAGAGCUCUGCCUUUAAAGUCUUGCCUUUGCAGCCGUGGCCUGCCCCUGAGGUGGCCUUCCUGGCAGCUAUUGAGAAACAUGACCCUUUUGGGGCACCACCUAUGAGAGCUUUGGGCUGGCUCUAAAGGCCUGCCAUUGACUAGAACACUGGAGAAGAGGGGCAGCUUUGGAGAGAAAGCACGGUUCACUUUGACAUGCUUGGUUUGAAGCUCCUUUUUGACAUCCAGGCAGGGUGAGCCUGGGGCUGGGGGUAAGGAUUCAGCCGUUGUCAGUUACACACUGUGUAGUUGGGAGGAGCUGAGAAGGAGCCCUAAUUUUUAGAGUUAGAAAAGGGAGGAGGAGCCGACCAAGAGUGACUUAAAAGGAAUAGCCAAGAGAGAACCCAAGAAUAGCCAAGGAAGUGCUUCAUAGAGGAGGAAAGGGUGAUCACGUGUCACAUGCAUGAUGGAGCAGCAAGGGUGGAGGUGGGACUCGACCUCAGAUUUCCCAAGGAUUAAGCCAGCUGAUGCCCCUGGAGCAGAGUGGGGGCUAUGAAACAUUCCAUGAUCAUUAUCAUCACAGUAUUGACUAAUAAUUGUAUGGAUCUUCACAUUUUAAUAGCCACUAGUAUAAUAAUGUCACUCAUUAUUGAUAAGCCUCAUUAUUCCUAUGAGGGUCUGUGGGCUGUUGGGCAGCUAACUAAAACCUUUCUACCAUUUGAUGGAGCUCCCACAGUGGUGCAGGGGUUGAGAACCUGACUACAGCAGCUCGGGACGCUGUGGAGGAGCAGUUUCAAUCCCUGGCCUGGCACAGUGGGUUAAAGGAUCUGGCAUUACCACAGCUGCGGUGUAGGUGGCAGCUGAGGCUCAGAUUCAAUCCCUGGCCCAGGAAUUUACAUCUGCUGCAUGUGCAGAAAUAAAAAAUAAAUACAUAAAACUUUUCUACGCUUUGAAUAGGAGAGAAGAAAUGUGAUUCCUUCUCUAUCAUGAUUAUUUCCUGUGUCUUGUCACACUCCAGGACCACUCUGCUCCAAGUGGAACAGCUGGCCCUAAGAAGAACUUGUGUUCAGUCUUGCCAGCAUAUUGUUGUUUGGCUCUUCUAUGUCCAUUUACAUGACUGUGUUGUAUGAGGACAUUUCCAUGCUCCUUUAUGGUUUUGUAAUGAAUGUGGCGAUGAUGCAUCAACCUUGAUAAACUGCAAAGUGUGCCCGUCUCUUCCCUCUUUUCUUCGGCCACCUGUCCCUGGCUUCAGUUUUGACUCAGAUGAGUGAGGAUGUCUAUGUAGACCUGGCAAGAAAUAUCCAAGUGUCAAUGACAUGUACUACACAAAUAUCCAAGGCCAUGUCUCUUGGAGCAUCUAGGUCCUUUAUUUGGUGAGAAGUUGCUCCUAUACAUCACACCUGCUCCGCACAUCCCUCAGGUAUGGAGAAUGGGCAGCUGGUGGUCAUUUAUUUCCACAUUUUUGGGGUAGCAGGCAGAAUCCUGGUGUGAGGGAUAAUCAAACAUAGCUGCUCUUCCCCUGCUUGUGAAUGCCACCUGUCACCCCACCUAGCUCUGUCCACUCUCCUCAGUCUCUGGCCACUGCCCUCUGGCUACUGCCCUGCUCAGCAGCAUCUCCACUGCUGCAUCAUCAGGACAAAGAAGACAGAUGAACCCAUAUCCCCCUGGAGUCCUGGGUGGCCUGGACUCUUGAAUUUACGCUAGGCUUUAUGAUGAAUUAUAAGCUGGCUAUAGUAGAACUUUGUUAUCUGAGAUUGAGGGACAGAAACAUACACUGGCUGGAGCCCAGGGUUGCAACAAAGAGAAGCUUCAGUUGUUGAUCUGCUUCUGCACAUGAAAUGGACCUCGGAGAUGCCUGGACCGCUCCCUGAACUCGACUCUAUACCCAAAUCCCACCUCCACGUCCCUGCUUGGACGUUGACUAACCAUCUCAAAGCGAAUACAUCCAACACUCAACUCCCGAUUGCCUCCACCUCCAAAGCUCUCUUCCAGCAGUCUCCCCUUUCUCAGUAAAUGACAGCUCCAUCCUCCCAUUGGCUCAGGCCCAAAUCUUGGAGUCAGUUUUGACUCCUUUUUCACUUUUCUCAUUUAUCACAAUAUAAAUCCUGAAUCCAAUCAAUUCUCAAGAUCUCUACUUACCAAUGGGUGUGAGCUACCUUUAUGUCUCACCUGGAAUUGUCAGUGGUUUUCUAACCCACUUCCCAGCCUCCACCCUGCCCCGCCCCCACCUGCCUACUAUCAGUGCUCACCCUGCCGCCAAGGCAAUCUGUUGAAAUAUGGCAGAUCACCUCCAUUCCCUGCUCAAAACCCCCUGAUGGCUCGCAUCUCAGAGAACAUCCAAGUCCAGUACAGUCUGGCUCCAUUACUCCCCACCUUCAUCUCCUGUUUGCCUCCCUUCACCAACUCUGGCUACACUGGCCUCCCUCUGCUCCUGGAGCGUUUCAGGAGCAGGCCUCAGGGCUUUUGCUCCUGCUGUUCCUUCUUUCCGGAGCCCUCUUCCCCCACAUUCACACCCCUCACACCUUUUCUUUCAAUGCCACCUUCUCAGUAAGGACUUUCCUUACUACCCAGUGAAAAAUGCAGUUCUCUGGCUGGCCCCCUCCCCCCAUCUACACUCCUUCCACCUCCCUGCUUUAUUUUCUCUAUGAUGUACUCACCUGACAAGCUGUAGUAUAGAGUAAAAGGCUUAACAGCAUGGACCCUGGAGAUGAACCAGUAUCAUUCUAUUGCUAUUUUUUCCUAAAAAGCCUUAUUUUGCAGUUAGAAGAGUUUGGAAUAAAAUACAUCAACAUAUAAUACUGUUUUUCUCCAGAUGGUGAAAUAAUGAAUAAUUUUAAUUUUCUUUAUCCUCCCUAUAUUUUCGAAUGAGUUCCUACUUUCAUGAUCAUGAAAAAAGAAUAUCAUUUGUUUCAAAUAGGGAAAAAGGGGAGUUCCCAUCGUGGUGCAGUGGAAACAAUCCAACUAGGAGCCAUGAGGCUGCGGGUUCAAUCCCUGGCCUUGCUCAGUGGGUUAAGGAUCUGGCGUCGCCGUGAGCUGUGGUGUAGGUUGCAGACAUGGCUUGGAUCUGGUGUUGCUGUGGCUCUGGUGUAGGCUGGCAGCUACAGGUCCGAUUAGACCCCUAGCCUGGGAACCUCCAUAUACGCAGGUGUGGCCCUAAAAGGACAAAAAGACAAAGAAUAAGUAAAUAAAUAAAAUAGGGAAAAAGGAAGUUUGCUUGUGGCUCAGCAGGUUAAGGAUCUGGCAUUUUCACAACUGUGGCACAGUUUCGCCCCCUGGUCUAGGAACUUCCACAUGCCUCUUGUGGG